UUUGUGGACUCUAAGUCAGGGGGCCUUUAAGACUUAAGAUUAAACUGUAUCUGAGGCACUGAAAAUACAUUUGAAGUUAAAAUAUAAAUUAAGACUUGAAAGACGAAGUGACCCCUUCUCCCCUCACCAGCUCACCUCCUCCUCCUGGUAUGAGUUGCCCACCAGCUGUAGGACCGGGACUGAUGCAUGUGGUAUGGGUUAGAUCUGGCUACCCAACCAUCUCUAGAGUAAGAGUCUGGCUUCUCUCUUCUUUAGGUCAAAGCAGGUUACAGAAAUGCUGCAGUCAUGCAGUGAAGCUUUUGUUUCUACUCUGCAGGCCCCUAAAUCAUCUGGGCCAGGGACAGGCCCCCUUAUUUCCAUAGAAACCAUGUUGGAUGUGAGCUAUGUCAAACGCUAGGGCCUUUUCCCG
Molecule: long non-coding RNA, 409 nt
Filed under: Rattus norvegicus (Norway rat)
Lineage: Eukaryota; Metazoa; Chordata; Mammalia; Rodentia; Muridae
Description: long non-coding RNA NONRATT025459
Source: RNAcentral